This is a long non-coding RNA of Alosa sapidissima (American shad), 825 nucleotides long. RefSeq lists it as uncharacterized. The record is from RefSeq and is a predicted model, not a curated record. NCBI's taxonomy places the organism in Eukaryota, Metazoa, Chordata, Actinopteri, Clupeiformes, Clupeidae. The transcript has 5 exons.
UGUCUUAUUUGGCCCGAUUGGGGUUUGAUGGGAUACUGCCAGUUUUCGAAUCAAUCUCGGCAGACGGAUUUCAUACAGUGUGUGGCCCGAUACUUCAGGAACGAACAAUGAUCAGUAUGGCGGCUGUUGGCGGCAAAAAUUAAACAUUUAGCGACAGCCGGACGCUAAACGUACAUGGCCCAAUUUUGUAAAGUGACUGUCGGCCCAUUACAUGUGGAAGAGCCACGAGCAGAGCAACUGUUCAGUUUGAAACCAGGACGGCGCGAAACUGUCUCGUUUUGGACACUGCCUGUGAAUCCAGGCCACACUGACCAGAGACCUGCACUCCUUUGGAUGAAGAAGGCUACCCGUGUAUACAUGUCUGAACCAUUUCUUGUGUUGGAAAAACAGGAGACCUGAAGAGCUCUUGAUGCUUUUGGUUUGCCUCAUCUAUUAUGUCAGCAAAGAACAGGAGUGGGCAGGAAACAUGCGCUGUUGAAAACAUGGCCAACCAUCUGGAGCACCCACAAGGCUCUUGUGAAGGAAGUCCACAAGCCUUUGUGCUUCAGGUCUAAGGCUCUUGUGAAGGAAGUCCACAAGCCUUUGUGCUUCAGGAUGGAUGGAAAGAACUCUUUGAUCAACCCCCAAAGAGAGCUGAGGUGGCUAUCUUUUGGAGACACCCCCGGCUGGUAGUGCUGCUGAAACUGGUGGAGGCAACAAUGAAGCGGCAACAGAAAGAGAAGGCAGGUGGCAAAGGUUGCUGCUAUUGAAAAAUACUUUGAGAGUGAGUAUGUGUGCAUGUAUGUAGCUGGGUAGGUCAUGGUACAUGGUACAAAAAUACAGAAU